UUGCACAUUUCAUUGACCUGCUUUCUUUGAAUAUGUGAGCAGUGUUAUUUCUUAUGUGCUAUAUAAAUACUUGAAGGCUAAUUAGCAGAGUAACUGUAUAUAGUAAUGCUGCCAGUCUCCUUCAGACAAAA
Mesocricetus auratus (golden hamster) is the source of this 131-nucleotide small nucleolar RNA. The record is from Ensembl. Lineage: Eukaryota; Metazoa; Chordata; Mammalia; Rodentia; Cricetidae.